AAGUCGUAACAAGGUUUCCGUAGGUGAACCUGCGGAAGGAUCAUUACCGAUUUUAGUGGACCUGAUCUUUGGUCAUGGUCUCGCGAAAACUUGUAUUUAAAACCCCACUCUUAUAAAUUGAAUCAUUUUAUUAUAUGUAUAAUAAAUAAAGAUCACUUUCAACAACGGAUCUCUUGGCUCUC
RNAcentral lists this unclassified non-coding RNA (182 nucleotides) under Rhizophagus sp. (in: glomeromycetes). RNAcentral's name for it is "Rhizophagus sp. (in: Fungi) partial internal transcribed spacer region". The stretch from base 1 to 46 matches the Rfam family "Eukaryotic small subunit ribosomal RNA", at positions 1786 to 1831 of the family's 1831-position model. Lineage: Eukaryota; Fungi; Glomeromycota; Glomeromycetes; Glomerales; Glomeraceae. The record is from RNAcentral.